UACGUAGGGUGCAAGCGUUGUCCGGAAUUAUUGGGCGUAAAGAGCUCGUAGGCGGUUUGUUGCGUCGGCUGUGAAAUCCCGAGGCUCAACCUCGGGUCUGCAGUCGAUACGAGCAAACUAGAGUGUUGCAGGGGAGACUGGAAUUCCUGGUGUAGCGGUGAAAUGCGCAGAUAUCAGGAGGAACACCGGUGGCGAAGGCGGCGACCUGGGUAGAUACUGACGCUGAGGCGCGAAAGCGUGGGGAGCAAACAGG
Molecule: ribosomal RNA, 253 nt
Filed under: uncultured bacterium
Lineage: Bacteria
Description: partial 16S ribosomal RNA
Rfam family: Bacterial small subunit ribosomal RNA
Source: RNAcentral